GUGAAUCAUCGAAUUUUUGAACGCAAAUUGCACUCUUUUCGGAGAGUAUGCCUGUUUGAGGGUCAGUAUUAAUAAAUUCGGUGUUGCUUUUUUGUGACGUCCCUGAGAUUGGGCUAGCUUUACCUUUUGGGUUUAAGAGGCUUAAAAUUGUUCUUUUUUGCGCACUUUUGGCUGUUCAUAAAUUUUUUUCUCGUCUAUUCUGGUGGCAAAUUUCUUAUUAGGUGUGAUCAUCUAAUGAUCUCGUGCCCAUAAUUUCU
This 257-nucleotide unclassified non-coding RNA is filed under the name Glomeraceae sp. RNAcentral's name for it is "partial contains 5.8S ribosomal RNA and internal transcribed spacer 2". The stretch from base 1 to 65 matches the Rfam family "5.8S ribosomal RNA", at positions 84 to 154 of the family's 154-position model. The record is from RNAcentral. Lineage: Eukaryota; Fungi; Glomeromycota; Glomeromycetes; Glomerales; Glomeraceae.